UGGGGAAUUUUGGACAAUGGGGGCAACCCUGAUCCAGCCAUCCCGCGUGUGCGAUGAAGGCCUUCGGGUUGUAAACACUUUUGGCAGGGAAGAAACAGCCUGGGAUAAUACCCCGGGCGACUGACGGUACCUGCAGAAUAAGCACCGGCUAACUACGUGCCAGCAGCCGCGGUAAUACGUAGGGUGCAAGCGUUAAUCGGAAUUACUGGGCGUAAACGUGCGCAGGCGGUUCGGAAAGAAAGGUGUGAAUCCCAGGGCUUAACCUUGGAACUGCACUUUUAACUACCGAGCUAGAGUACGUCAGAGGGGGGUAGAAUUCCACGUGUAGCAGUGAAAUGCGUAGAGAUGUGGAGGAAUACCGAUGGCGAAGGCAGCCCCUGGGAUGAUACUGACGCUCAUGCACGAAAGCGUGGGGAGCAAACAGGAUUAGAUACCCUGGUAGUCCACGCCCUAAAACGAUGUCAACUAGCUGUUGGGGUUUAUUAACCUUAGUAGCGCAGCUAACGCGUGAGUUGACCGCCUGGGGAGUACGGUCG
Molecule: ribosomal RNA, 536 nt
Filed under: uncultured bacterium
Lineage: Bacteria
Description: partial 16S ribosomal RNA
Rfam family: Bacterial small subunit ribosomal RNA
Source: RNAcentral